GCUUCUUUGCUUUAUGACUCGUUCUGAACAAGUCCUUUUCCGCGCUGUGUCUCACUUUCCUCUUUUGUAAAAUGGAAAUAUUAACUCUAGACGCCGGUCUGAUUAGGUUGCUUUGAAGAUCGAACCAGAUGAGGGAAGCCAAAUACUUCAUAGGCUGUGAGGUGGUGAAGCUGAACUGCUACCGAGUUGCUAUUUUUUUCUCCUCCUCCCUCUCAAGCUAAACGUUCUUUAGAUCUUUUGUGAUUUCUUCAGGUGGUCUUUGCGACUCCCUAGGCUCCGACCGGGAAGAAAUCUUUUUUACACUUCCCUUUCACAGAGCCCUGCAUUUUAACUUCCCUAUCAGAAGCGAGAAAAAUAGUUAUCAUUUUGAGAGGGCUUACUCUAUGCCAAGCCCUGAGAAAACUCUUUACGUGGAUUAUCUCGUUUAAUUUCACAGCAUCCUUUUAAGUUUUCCAUGGACACGGCCUAGCAGAAAGACGCAGCCUUCGUGCUUCGCUGACUGCUGACCACUGACCCACCGCCUUGAUGACAGCACCCUCGUGUGCCUUCCCAGUUCAGUUCCGGCAGCCCUCAGUCAGCGGCCUCUCGCAGAUAACCAAAAGCCUGUAUAUCAGCAAUGGUGUGGCCGCCAACAACAAGCUCAUGCUGUCUAGCAACCAGAUCACCAUGGUCAUCAAUGUCUCAGUGGAGGUAGUGAACACCUUGUAUGAGGAUAUCCAGUACAUGCAGGUACCUGUGGCUGACUCCCCUAACUCACGUCUCUGUGACUUCUUUGACCCUAUUGCUGACCAUAUCCACAGCGUGGAGAUGAAGCAGGGCCGUACUUUGCUGCACUGUGCUGCUGGUGUGAGCCGCUCAGCUGCCCUGUGCCUCGCCUACCUCAUGAAGUACCACGCCAUGUCCCUGCUGGACGCCCACACGUGGACCAAGUCAUGCCGGCCCAUCAUCCGACCCAACAGCGGCUUUUGGGAGCAGCUCAUCCACUAUGAGUUCCAAUUGUUUGGCAAGAACACUGUGCACAUGGUCAGUUCCCCAGUGGGAAUGAUCCCUGACAUCUAUGAGAAGGAAGUCCGUUUGAUGAUUCCACUGUGAGCCAUCCCACCAGCCCCUGCAUUGGAGUCAGAGGUACAGAUCUAUUGUUGAUCUUACACCAAGAUCCAAACUUGAACAUUCUACUUUUGUUGAUACAGAAAAAAACAGAUGAUGCCUUUUAUGAGCACAAAAAAAAGAGUUGCUGUAGCUUUUAACUUUAUAAUCCAUUUUUUUUUAAGAUUAAACUAAUUGUGAGAUGGUGAAGAUAAAUUUUCUGCCCUGUGAGUGACACUGGCCAGGGGAUAGGUUGAGGCAGAUGGUGCCCAGAAGAAAGAGGGCAGCACCCAUUGCACAUGGCAGGCCUGGAAUCCUGCAGCCCUCCCCAAAAACAGAUUGACCCAGGAAUGAAUCUGCUACAAUUCCACCUCAUUCUUUCACACCCAGAGCCAGAGCCUUAAGCAUCAUGGUACCUCUUGCGCUUCUUACAGCGGCUGCUGAAGAUGGCAGAGGGGCAGGUCCUGGUGCUCAACGGUCGAAGCUAUCUCCUGGGCUUCCUGAGGGCCAUGGUGGCUAAGCAGGCCGGAAGGUGGUGGUCGUACACUGCGGGGGCAUCAGUAUUUCUGGCAAUGUCUAUAGAAAGAAGUUGAAGUACCUGGCCUUACUCCACAAGCGGAUGAACAGCAACCCUUCCCGAGGCACCUACCACUUCUGGGCCCCCACCACUUCCGGGUCCCCAGCCGCAUCUUCUGGCGGACCCCGAGGCAUGCUGCCCCGCGAGACCAAGGAAGCCAGGCCGCCCACGACCGCCUCAAGGUGUUUAACGGCAUCCCACCACCCUAUGACGAAAAAGCAGGUCGUGGUUCCUGCUGCCCUCCAGGUUGUGCAUCUGAAGCCUACAAGAAAGUUUGCCUACCUGGGGCAGCUGGAUCACAAAGUUGGCUGGAAGUACCAGACAGUGACAGCCACCCUGGAGGAGAAGAGGAAGGAGAAGGCCAAGAUCCACUACCAGAAUAAGAAACAGCUCAUGGGAUGGCCGGGCGCGGUGGCUCACGCCUGUAAUCCUAGCACUUUGGGAGGCGGAGGCGGGCAGAUCAGGAGGUCAGGAGAUUGAGACCAUCCUGGCUAACAUGGUGAAACCCGGUCUCUACUAAAAAAAUAAAAAAUAAAAAUAGCCGGGCGUGGUGGCGGGCACCCGUAGUCCCAGCUACUCGGGAGGCUGAGGCAGGAGAAUGGCGUGAACCCGUGGGGCGGAGCUUGCAGUGAGCCAAGAUCACGCCACCGCACUCCAGCCUGGGCGACAGAGUGCGACUCCGUCUCAAAAAAAAAAAAAAACAGCUAAUGAGGCUACAGAAACAGGCCGAAAAGAACGUGGAGAAGGAAACUGACAAAUAAUGGGGUGUCCUCAAGACCCAUGGACUCCUGCUGUGAGCCCAAUAAAGACUGUUUACUCCUCAAUAAAUAAAUAAAUAUGUAAAUAAAUAAAAACAGGGAACUGUG
This is an RNA transcript of Pan troglodytes (chimpanzee), 2529 nucleotides long. It is a transcript of the gene named dual specificity phosphatase 18, with no coding region annotated. The record is from RefSeq and is a predicted model, not a curated record. The transcript is spliced from 3 exons. NCBI's taxonomy places the organism in Eukaryota, Metazoa, Chordata, Mammalia, Primates, Hominidae.